GAUGAAGAACGUAGCGAAAUGCGAUACUUGGUGUGAAUUGCAGAAUCCCGUGAACCAUCGAGUCUUUGAACGCAAGUUGCGCCCGAAGCCACUAGGCCGAGGGCACGCCUGCCUGGGCGUCACACGCCGUUGCCCCCCCAUCUACUCCUUCGGGAUUGCGGGGGGGCGGAUGAUGGCCUCCCGUGCGCCUAGCCGCGCGGUUGGCAUAAAUACCAAGUCCUCGGCGACGCACGCCACGACAAUCGGUGGUUGCGAAACCUCGGUUGCCCUCGUGUGCGUUCGUCGCGCAUCGAGGGCUCGAAAAAAUGCUCGGCUCCGGCUGGGCUUUCAACGCGACCCCAGGUCAGGCGGGGUUACCCGCUGAAUUUAAGCAUAUCAAUAAGCGGAGGA
This 390-nucleotide unclassified non-coding RNA is filed under the name soil metagenome. RNAcentral describes it as "partial contains 5.8S ribosomal RNA, internal transcribed spacer 2, and large subunit ribosomal RNA". The stretch from base 1 to 122 matches the Rfam family "5.8S ribosomal RNA", at positions 35 to 154 of the family's 154-position model. The record is from RNAcentral.